AUAAUGGCUUGUAGGGCCACACAUGAACCAUGAAUUCCAAAGACAAAUUUCAUGGCAUAAGAUCUUAGAAUUUGGCAUUGGACCAUGGAAUAGACAUUGAGAACCAUCAUUGGUGUGACAAUCCUUGAAAUGGUGAUCAUAUCUCACUUGUAAGCUAAAGAUUCCUAAUGCAAGGCAUGUGUGGUGGUUCGGGGUACUUAUGCAUCUAAUUACUACACACCUAUCCCACACAACCGAAAACAUAAAUGCUAACAUACCUAUAAAUAUAAGCAUCAAUGCACCUAACCUAUUUACUUACCCACACAUCUAAUCGAUGCAUCUUGUUGGUGACCAUUCUCCUCUCAGGUAAACAGUUAAUCAUGUGUUAAUUAGACUGAGUAGGUCCAAGGGGGAUAGGGGUUAAUGUGUUAAUAAUCACCUAACCUAGACCUUGAAUAUACACCCCCUAUCCUUCUAAAUCAUUGAUCCAUAACCCAUAACCCUUCUAAAGAUGCAAUGUGAUUUAUUCCCAUUGCUUUGCAUGUCAAAGUGAAGAAAUUCAACCAAGCAUGAGUAAACAAUGAGAGUAACUAUGACUCUCUUAAGGUAUCCAAAUGCCUCGUCAUCUAAUUAGUGACGUUCAUUUAUGGAUCAUUAACGAGAUUCCCCACUGUACCUAGCUACUAUAUUCUAUAGAAACCACAUCCAAGGGAAUGGGCUUGACAGAAUUAGCGGGGAAAGAAGACCCUAUUAAGCUUGACUCUAGUCCUAACCAUUCAUAGUUUGGAAAAAUUAGGGCAUAGUUUGGGAAAAUUAUACCAUAACAUUUGUCUUUGGGAGUCAAAUUGACGAUGGAAACAAGUGGGUGUGUGAGUCAAAUUUGAGUCAAGAAACCCUCCCAUAUUGUUAAGGCAUGCGAAUAGUCUAUCUACGACCACGAUGGUAUAAAAAUAAAUGAGCUUCUCUUGGUUUCAAGAAUAAUUUAUCCUCUACUAAACA
This is a non-coding RNA of Picea glauca (white spruce), 978 nucleotides long. The record is from Rfam. Lineage: Eukaryota; Viridiplantae; Streptophyta; Pinopsida; Pinales; Pinaceae.